This is an RNA transcript of Oreochromis niloticus (Nile tilapia), 3528 nucleotides long. It is a transcript of the gene named BCL2 associated athanogene 6, like, with no coding region annotated. The record is from RefSeq and is a predicted model, not a curated record. NCBI's taxonomy places the organism in Eukaryota, Metazoa, Chordata, Actinopteri, Cichliformes, Cichlidae. The transcript is spliced from 17 exons.
GAAAUAAAUUUCUCACCAGAUAAAUUUGGGGACAACAGUGACCAUGACGUCUAAUGGUAGACAAGCAACUGAUGGACAGCAACAAACCUUUCAGGGCACUGACCAAUCAGAUCAGCAGGCUACAGACCAGACUCUGCCUCUUCAGGCAAAUGGGACCAAUCGAGGAGGACCUAGAGUGAUCCGGAUCACACAUCAGACGAUGGAGCCUGUAGUCAUGAUGCAGAUGAACAUUCAUGGUGAAUCAGCUGCAGGGUCUCAGAUACCAGGACAACCAAAUGCCGCAGCUACUCGACAACCUGGCACAGCACCUGCCCACUUCACAGAAUUACCUCCUGAGUUCAUGCAGGCAAUUGUGCACCAGUUUUCUCACCAACCCACUGCCAUGGCUGCUGCGCCCUCAUCAAGCCACCCAGUGCACAUGAUUUCUGGUUCUGACUCAACACCCAGUGCACAGACAGCUGCUUCACCGCUGCUCCCCAACACCCCUGUACAGGGUAGGGUAGUCCUCACCAGGCCAUCCUUGUCCACCCACAUCAACCAGCCUGUGGGAAAUACCAUCAACCUGAGGGCUACAGGUGGCCAGCAACCAGGACAGGGCAUGGCUCUGGGUCCCUCCUCUCUCACCCAGAUGAUCAGUGGUCUGGUUGGACAGCUUCUGAUGCUGGAGCAUCCAGGUGAUCCUUCAGCGAACUCUCAGUCCUCCCUGUCUACCUCUUCCAUGUUUGUUUCCAGCACUGCUUCUCCUCCCUUUCCCUCAGCUAACACAUCUGGACAGACAGCCACCCGCACCACAAGUACUACCUCAGUCGGUCAGCCAGGAGAGCCCAGCCCAGAGGGAAAUAUGGCUCAGCUCUUGGGAUCUCUACUGGGAGCAGCAGGGUUGGGUGGUCCUGGCUCUGGAUUGGCUCCAUCCAUCACUGUGACACUACCAGGGGUUCCUGGCUUCUUCCAGAGCGAGAGCGUGUCAGACUUGGCACCACCACCUGCCCCUGGCCCCAGGGCCUCACUUCUUCAUCAGACCAUUGGUCCUGCUCCCUCUCAGACCAGCAGCAGCCCAGCCGGAGACUCUCUGAGCCCAGAGCUGUUCUCUGGCAUCAUGCAGGGAGUGCUGUCCACCAUGAUGAGCUCUCUUGGGGCACAGCAGAGCAAUGGAGAAAGCAUUGCCCAGUUCAUCCAGAGACUGUCCCAGACCAAUAACCUGUUUGUUCCUGGCUCUGGGGAUGCAGUGGGGUUCUUUGGGGACCUGCUCUCCCUGGUGUGUCAGAGUUUCUCUAUGGUGGAUAUGGUGCUGUUGCUUCAUGGGAACGCCCAACCUCUGAGUCGCAUCCGGCCUCAGCUCACAGACUUCUUCACUGAACACUAUCUCCAGGAACAAGAACCUACUGAUGCCAACAUAGCUGCAGCAGCUGAGGACCUCAUCAAUGGACUUGAGCAUUACAUAGCUGAGAGCUUUGCCACAGUGACAGUGCGUGAGGGAGUGGACAUAAUUCAGACCAACCUGUCUUUCUUCAGACAGCAGUUCACGCGAAUGGCCACACAUAUUCUUCGCUGCAACGAUCACAUGUUUGGCCCCCGCCUGCUGUUGCUGUGUACUCAAAGCCUGUUUGAGUGCCUGGCUCUUAACCUGUAUUGCCUGGGAGGAGAACACAGAGCUCUGACUGCUGUCAUCAACCAACACAUUGUUUGUAGGAGGAUGUCUGCAGAAGUCAAUCCCAGUCUGGUGAACUGGCUGACCAGCAUGAUGUCUAUGAGGCUGCAUAUCAUUCUGGAGCACAACCCAGUUACUGAGGACCAAAUCCAACAUUACAUUAUCCAUUUACAGGAAGAGUUGGGCCAGAGGACGGAGACUGAGGUGGAACAGCCAUCAGAGUGUGCAAGUGUGGAGAUGGAGGAGAGUUCGUCUCCAUCUGCAGCCACUACAGCAGAGGAGGCCAUGGUUUCCACUGGAGAGGGAGAAGCACCUCCAUCUGGUUCAUCUGUGGAUGGUUCAUCUCAGUGCUCCUCUGGGCCCCAAGCAGGACAGGACGAAGUGUCUCCUGAAAUGGAGCCAUGGGCAGCAGCUGUUCCACCUGAAUGGGUUCCCAUCAUCAGACAUGACAUGCUGUCUCAGAGGAAGAUCAAAGCCCAGCCCCCACUGUCUGAUGCGUACCUGCAUGGGAUGCCUGCUAAGAGAAGGAAGACGAGCCAGUGUGAAGGACCGCACCUGUCCCUGUCGGAGGCAGUUAGUCGAGCUGCUCGUGCUGUGGGAGUCCUGCCUGUCUCUGCCCCAAACAGCCUGCAGGUGGAGCUGGAGAGCCCAGAGAUACAGGCCGCUUACACCAAACAGGUAAAGUGUGACAUCACAGAAAGAGUGAGAGAUGAUCCAGACUUUACCGGCCAGAGAUUCCCCAACACACAUCGAGCUUUCUCUAUAGAAGACUCCUAGUCCCAGUCAAACAGCUUGUGCCACAGAGGAGCGGGAUGGGGUGAUGAAACCUACCCUGCAGCGUGAGACCUGAAUACAUGUAAUGUGGCAUAAGCAAGGAAGACAGCUGCUGACUUCACUUCCUCCUCUCCUGUGUCAUGGAGACACAAGCUGCUGUAGUUUGUUUAGAAUGGGAAAAUCUGCAGACUCUUGCUAAAACACCCCACCUCCGACACCUCUGAGAAGGACCUGGUAGAAUGACCUAACAUCAGUGCAGAAGCAAACCGAUCCACAGGAUUCAAAAGGAUCUAGCUUAAUGUCAGAACUAAUCCUCUGUGGUAUGCAGUUUCUAAUCAGUGUGGGCCGUCAUACCAACGCUGGAGAUAUUAUUAGUAUAUUACUGUAUAUUAGUUAGUGUUGGUGUCACUGUUAGGAAAGAACAGAGUCAGAAUAUUCUGAAAAUAAAGUUUCAUUAAUCUGUGAAACAGAUGCACAGUGAAUGUGUAAUCUGACCAUGUAAAAGAAUGUCAGAAUUAUAAAGAUAUCAAAUAUUGAGGUAAAGGCAUCGUGCUUAAUAUUAGGAGAAAAAGUGUUACAAUGUUGUUAACGAAAAAAAUAUUUUAUGAGAUAAAGUGUAUUUAUUGUUAUAGUAAACAGUGAUGGUGGAAAAAACUUGUAUGAGGCAAAAAAAAAACAGGUGAGCACAAAUUUAUGCUAAAAAAGAAUCACAUGUUGUAUGAACUUCUUAAACUAUUCUGCUGUCAAACAGCAGUGGUCCUGAUACACUGUAAUACUGAGCAGUUCUGCCCUGUGUUAUAAAUGCAUAGUAGCAUAGAGCUUUGUCAGUUGCACUUUACCUUACCAUAUAAAGAAUCGUGAUUGUUGUUAGUAUUUCCAUGUCAGCUUUGUAUUAUUUUCACAUCUUAUCAAUGUCAGUGAAUCACAGGCUUGCACAUUUUAUUUUUUUGUAUUUUAGAGCAUUACGUGUAAUUGACUCUGUUGUUGAGUAAUACAGGAUACAGCCCGUUCGGUGAUAUUUGUCUGAUGUUAGAAAAGCUUUGUCAAACUGUCAACUGUUACUACCUGCUUGAUAACGUCACUACAAUAAAUCCACUUUUAAAUCA